AGUGAACGCUGGCGGUAGGCCUAACACAUGCAAGUCGAACGGCAGCACAGUAAGAGCUUGCUCUUACGAGUGGCGAGUGGCGGACGGGUGAGGAAUACAUCGGAAUCUACUUUUUCGUGGGGGAUAACGUAGGGAAACUUACGCUAAUACCGCAUACGACCUACGGGUGAAAGCAGGGGAUCUUCGGACCUUGCGCGAUUGAAUGAGCCGAUGUCGGAUUAGCUAGUUGGCGGGGUAAAGGCCCACCAAGGCGACGAUCCGUAGCUGGUCUGAGAGGAUGAUCAGCCACACUGGAACUGAGACACGGUCCAGACUCCUACAGGAGGCAGCAGUGGGGAAUAUUGGACAAGGGGCGCAAGCCUGAUCCAGCCAUACCGCGUGGGUGAAGAAGGCUUUCGGGUUGUAAAGCCCUUUUGUUGGGAAAGAAAAGCAGCAGGUUAAUACCCCGCUGUUCUGACGGUACCCAAAGAAUAAGCACCGGCUAACUUCGUG
Molecule: ribosomal RNA, 492 nt
Filed under: uncultured bacterium
Lineage: Bacteria
Description: partial 16S ribosomal RNA
Rfam family: Bacterial small subunit ribosomal RNA
Source: RNAcentral